UGAAUGGCAGUAAUCUAAUGCCUGUAUCCAGAGAACAAAAACAGUUAGGCAAGUCAAACUCACUAAGGUUCCUUAAUAAUUUGUUGAUGACUUGUUCAGCAGUAACUUGGUGUGGUCAUUUUAGUGGCAUAUGCACAGGAGUUAUCAUUUCCUUGCAAACAAUUAACAUGCCUUCAAAAUACACAGACGGAAACCUAUCUGGACACCGGAACUUAAAAUUGAUACAUAUCAAUGCUUUGAAAUUGCCAAGAAUCCAACAGCAACAACCUAGCCUUUUUAGUCCAAAGCAAGAGUUAGCAAUACCAAGACUUCUUUACAGAAUAAUACAUUCUAGCUGCUUACACAGAAGUAACAACAUGAGAAUUUACCUUGAGUAACUCAUAGAUGUAAU
Molecule: unclassified non-coding RNA, 391 nt
Filed under: Zea mays
Lineage: Eukaryota; Viridiplantae; Streptophyta; Magnoliopsida; Poales; Poaceae
Description: misc RNA Zm00001eb298710
Source: RNAcentral